ACGUAGGGUGCGAGCGUUAAUCGGAAUUACUGGGCGUAAAGUGUGCGCCGGCGGCGUCGCAAGUCGAGUGUGAAAGCCCCGGGCUUAACUUGGGAAUUGCGCUCGAAACUACGGUGCUGGAGUAUGGCAGAGGAAGGUGGAAUUCCACGUGUAGCAGUGAAAUGCGUAGAUAUGUGGAGGAAUACCGAUGGCGAAGGCAGCCCCCUGGGAUAACACUGACGCUCAUGCACGAAAGCGUGGGGAGCAAACAGGA
Molecule: ribosomal RNA, 253 nt
Filed under: uncultured prokaryote
Description: partial 16S ribosomal RNA
Rfam family: Bacterial small subunit ribosomal RNA
Source: RNAcentral